This 24027-nucleotide long non-coding RNA is filed under the name Vitis vinifera (wine grape). RNAcentral describes it as "long non-coding RNA (VVIN_LNC006411)". The record is from RNAcentral. Lineage: Eukaryota; Viridiplantae; Streptophyta; Magnoliopsida; Vitales; Vitaceae.
CCAGCUUUCCGCUUACUUCUGCCACUCUCCCAGCAACCAAACAGAAAUCCCAAAAACCCAUAACACAAAUUGUGAAAAAAAAAAAAACAAUUGCCCAAGAAACAAUAGCAAGAACGUCACCGACAAUUAGGGUAAAAAUCAGACCAAAUCCAGAACGAAACAAACCGGAAAAGUUUAGAAAAAUUCUGGGGAAUUAAGGAAUGGGAAAGGGGCAAGCAACCCAUAAAAUGAAAGGAAUUACCUAAGGGCAGUAGAAAAAACGAAAAGGAUCUCAAAACAUAACAAAAGAGGAAAAACAAAAUCCUUUUAAGAAAAUUUUGACUAUUAUUUUCUGGGUAACCAAAUGGAAAACCCAAGAGAGAGAGAGAGCGCUUACCUAGGGUUCCGGGUUUUUCAGAGGGUGAGGUGAGAGCCAUUGUCGGCGCCAGUGGAAACCAGAGGGGAGAGGACGAAGGUUACCUCUUAUUUUCUUUUUCUUGAUCAAUUUUUCAUUUUUUUCUGAUACGAAAAAAGGAAAAAAAAUUUACUGGGCGGAGAUGGUGGCCAUAUCCGAUUCCACCGUCCUUCACAAAUCGUAUGAAGAAAAAGAAAAAAGAAGACAAAUUACAACAGAAAUUCGAAGCUCAAGGCCUGCAAAAUUGCAGAUCUAGAAACGCCGAUCUCAACUUUGGUACAAUCAGAAGGUAGAAAUCAACCAAAAGAGAAUAACAGAGAAAAGAAAACUAAGGAAAAUUUUGCAUAUCUGUAUACAUGUUGAGAGAGGGAAAAGAUGGACGCAGCCUCCAAUUCACGGCCAGCAUCACCUUUUCCUUGAUGGAUCUACCUUGCCUACUCAAAUUUUUGGAAGAAAUUCAACCGAACAAGGAAACCCUCAGAUCUCCGGAGGAAGCACUCCCGUCCCCAACUCCAGCUGCCGAGAAAAGGCUCACAGCACCCUUUAUAUAUAUUUGGUUGGGGAAAUAAUCCCAAAGAAAAUAUAAUCCUUCUUUUCAUUUAAAAAAAAAAAAAAAAAAACCAUUUUUUUAUAAAAGCAUGUAUACAUAUUUUUUUAAUACCACGCAUUUCUGGCGCGUUGAAAUCACUUGCGUAAUUGAUCAUACGAGACAACAAAACAAAUUUGAAACCAGCCCACAAUACUUGUUUAGAGCAGAAAAUAGAUAGCGUUUCUGUGGCGGGUUGAAAUCACUUGCGUAAUUGAUGAUCAGACGAGACAACCAAAACAAACUUGAAACUAGCCCACAGUUUAGAGCAGAAAAUAGAUAAUCUCGUAAAACAAUCACAUCAAGGGUAUAGCGUCAUCGUUGAUCGUAGCGCAUGAAGUCAUCAUUGAUUAUACUUCUUGUUCAAAGCAAAAAAACAUAAAGCAAUCCAUAGUUUCCUUAUAUAUAUAUAUAUGUAUAUAUUAAAAGUAGCAGAUGAAGUGCAUGGCGGCGGCAGCAUCAUCAUCAUCAUACUUUUUGCUCAAAGCAGAAAAUAGAUAAUCUCACAAAACAAAUAAUCCAUAAUUUCAUCAUAUAUAUAUGAGUAGGGUGCCCAUGGAAUCAUCGUCAUCGAGUGGAUGGGGGGCAGGAGGAAGAAGCGGACGGGGGAACGGGGCCCCGUUCCAUUACAACCGCCUCCUUGUAGCUGCUAUUAACCCUCCGUGCUCCUACGAGAAUCAGCCAGAGAGAGAGUGAGAUGGACAUCCACGUCAUCACUCGCUUCAACACAUUCAUGGUGGAAAGUCGAUGCUAAAAAUACGGCAUAAGCUAGUGUUUAUAUAGACCAAAAAAUGAAAACGGUAACCAUUUCCUGCAUGGAAGGUUUCAGCCGCCGUCCGCCAGUCCUUGAAAAGAUUCUACUUCACUAUCAUUCCAACCCCAGAAACUAUGAUUGGACCACCGCCUUUCACAGAUUAAUUUGAUAUUUGUAAAAGGUCUGAAAUCAGAAAGUUACUGAUAUGGAUGGCACGUCAAUAUCAAUUUCAUCUAAAUUUUUUUUUAAAAAUAAAGGAUUAACUUCAAUCAUAUCCCUUGGAGUCUUGGUUAAAUAUAUCUUACCUCUCAAAAUUUCAACGUACACCCUUAUUUUAUAAAUAAAUAAAUAAAUAAAAAACCAAAGGGAAAUGAGUUUAACCCAAAAAUUCACUUUUUUUUUUUUUUAAAUAGAUAAAAACACUGUUUCUUGCUAUUUGUUUCUGUAAAAAUAAUUUUUUAAAACUCUUCCCUUCUCACUUGUCUACUUGUCUUUCAUUUAUUAUUGGCUCUCUUUAUCAAAUUUUAAGAUUACCAUUUUUUUUUUCUAAACCAUAAUACCAUUUCAAAUUUUUAACCCGACCAUAUUUUUUUCUACAAGCAUAAAUAUGAGAACAAACCAAACCCUCUCCUCCACCUUUAAUGUUAUGGUACAAAAUAAAUAUCUUAUUAACUUAAAUUUUUACGGAAUAAUGUUUUUAGAAAACAUUUCUAAUAUAAAAAUUGUUUUAAGAGAAAAUUUUUAAUUUUGAAAAACACUUUUAAGUUAGUUUUAAAUUUGCUACAUGGAUCAUAAUUGUUAAAAAUAAUUAGCCGUUGAAAGUAAAUUUGGAGAUUAUUAAUUUAGAGGAGAUCAUUAUUUAUAUUUAUUUAAAUUUAUCAUUAUUUAGAGAGGGGUAUUUAAAUCACACGAACCCAAAUUAAGAGUAAAAGGUUAUAUUAUUUAGAGGAUAUUAUUAAUUUAUUGAAUAAUUAUUUAUUUAAACAACAUUAUUUAUUUAUUGAGAUUUUAUGAUAUUAAAAUGGAGAGUUAGAUUACAUAUGACUUUUUGUUGUCACAUGAUUGGUGUAAAAUAAAGCACUUAGAUUUUUAUUCAUAAAUUUAUAAUAUUAAUAAGUUUAUUACUUGAAUUUUAAAUCAUUUUUUAAAAUUAUUAAACUUGAUAAUGAAUUCUUCUUAUUUAAUUUGGAAUUUAUUUAUCUAAUGAAAAAAAAAAAGAAAUAAUAAUUUUAUAUAAAAGAAAAACAAUAAAGUUAUUUUAAGUCAAUUUUUGUUCAUAAACUUAUAGUAUUAAUAAAUUUAUUAUUUAAGUUUUAAAUUAUUUUUAAAAAUUAAUAGAUUUGUUAAAAAAUCCAAUAUUAAGUUUUGUUUAAUUUAGAGUUAAUUUAUUUAAUAAAAUUUUUUUAAAAAAUAAUAAAAUAUAUGUUUUUAUAUUAUUUUUAAAAUUUGGUGAAAAUAAUUUUUACUUACUCUUUAAAACUAAUUCACUAUUUCACUUUAUUUUUAAAAACUAAAAAUAAAGAGUAAUAACUAAAUAGUAUUAUGAAUAUUUAAAAAUUCUUUAUACAGCCAAAAAUGGAUGUGUAGACAUCCACACCCUGUGUUGCUUUCUUGAUUGUGUAUUUGUACAACCAUUUAUACAGCCAAAAAUGGAUGUGUAGACAUCCACACGCUGCGUUGCUUUCUUGAUUGUGUAUUUGUACAGCCAUUUAUACAGCCAACAAUGGAUGUGUAGACUGUUGAAGACUGAUUCAAAGUGGCUGUUGGCAUAUUCCUAUUCUUAUGGUUGAGUUAGUCAAAUAAGGAGCUUGUUGCUAAAAUCGAGUUAGUGGGUGCAGUGGGUCAAGUGUUAGUGGUGUAGUGGGGCAGAUUGUGUCCUCUUUGUUUUUUUUAUAAAUAGACAUGUUUGCUGUAGUGGAAUUAAUGACUGCAAUAAAAUAUCCAGAAACAUUUUCUUUGGUUUGGUGAAGCUCUGUUUUUUAGAGUUAAAGAGCUCUAUUUUUUUCCUUGCUAUUGUUUUGUCUUGUUUUUGCCCAACAAUUUUUGGUAUCAGAGCAACCAAGUUCCUUCUGAACUGGGCGAAUAAUGGCAACAACCAACGGCAGUAUGGUGAGUGUGUCUCAACCAGCAAUUCCCAUUUUCAAAGGUGAGUGCUAUGAGUUUUGGAGCAUCAAAAUGAAGACUUUAUUCAAGUCUCAAGAUCUGUGGGACUUGGUUGAAAAUGGCUAUCCUUAUCCGGACGAAGAAGCUAGGUUGAAAGAAAAUACGAAGAAGGACUCCAAGGCAUUGUUCUUUAUUCAACAGGCUGUACAUGAAUCAAUCUUCUCAAAGAUUGCAGUAGCAACCACAGCAAAAGAGGCGUGGACAACCUUGAAAACUGCAUUUUAGGGUUCCUCUAAAGUGAUCACGGUGAAGCUCCAGUCCUUGCGCCGUGACUUUGAAACCUUGCACAUGAAAAAUGGAGAGUCAGUGCAAGAUUUUUUGUCAAGAGUUGCUGCUAUAGUUAAUCAAAUGAGGUCGUAUGGUGAAGAUAUUCUUGAUCAAACUGUCGUAGCAAAGGUGUUAAGGAGUUUAACGCCUAAGUUUGAUCAUGUAGUUGCAGCCAUUGAGGAGUCUAAGGAUCUGUCAACCUAUUCAUUUGAUGAGCUCAUGGGAUCCUUGCAAUCUCAUGAAGCGAGGCUGUCCAGAACAGAGGAGAAGAACGAAGAAAAGACAUUUUACACGAAGGGGGAGACAUCAGAUCAGAAGAAUGGAGGCAGAGAAGCUACUGGUAGAGGACGUGGCAGAGGAGGUGCUCAUGGAAGAGGUGGUCGUGACAGAGGCCGAGGUGAUGCACAAGGUGACCAAAGGCAGUCAACUGAGAAGAGCAGAAACAAGAGUAAUAUCCAGUGCUACUACUGCAAGCGGUUUGGACAUGUUCAAGCUGAAUGUUGGAAGAAAGAAAGGCAAGAAAAACAAGCUAACUAUGUCGAGCAAGAGGAAGAUCAAGUCAAGUUGUUCAUGGCCUAUAAUGAAGAGGUAGUAUUUUCCAACAAUAUUUGGUUUUUGGAUAGUGGAUGUUCUAACCACAUGACAGGGAUAAAGUCACUCUUUAAGGAGCUGGAUGAAUCACACAAGUUGAAGGUGAAACUUGGUGAUGACAAACAAGUGUAAGUGGAAGGCAAGGGGAUCAUGGCAGUAAACAAUGGUCAUGGUAAUGUAAAACUCCUUUACAAUGUGUACUUUAUUCCUAGUUUGACUCAAAACUUGUUAAGUGUGGGGCAACUUAUGGUUAGUGGAUACUCCAUUUUGUUUGAUGGUGCUACUUGUGUGAUCAAAGAUAAAAAGUCUGAUCAAAUAAUAGUUGAUGUUCGUAUGGCCGCAAACAAGUUGUUUCCUCUUGAAGUGUCAAGUAUAGAAAAGCAUGCUCUUGUUGUUAAAGAGACUAGUGAGUCUAAUCUGUGGCACUUAAGGUAUGGUCAUCUAAAUGUCAAAGGGUUGAAGUUACUAAGUAAAAAGGAAAUGGUGUUUGGACUACCUAAAAUUGACUCGGUGAAUGUGUGUGAGGGCUGUAUUUAUGGGAAACAAAGCAAGAAACCAUUCCCUAAGGGAAGGUCAAGGAGGGCAUCUAGUUGUCUUGAGAUUAUACAUGCUGAUCUAUGUGGUCCUAUGCAAACUGCUUCAUUUGGUGGCAGUAGAUAUUUUUUGUUGUUUACAGAUGAUCAUAGCAGGAUGAGUUGGGUGUAUUUUCUUCAAUCAAAGGCAGAGACUUUUGAGACCUUCAAGAAGUUCAAAGCAUUUGUAGAGAAGCAGAGUGGCAAGUGCAUUAAGGUGCUGCGGACUGACAGAGGUGGAGAGUUCUUAUCAAAUGAUUUUAAAGUGUUUUGUGAAGAGGAAGGCUUGCAUAGAGAGUUGACUACUCCUUAUUCACCAGAGCAAAACGGUGUGGCUGAGAGGAAGAAUAGAACGGUGGUUGAGAUGGCUAGAAGCAUAAUGAAGGCCAAGAACCUUUCAAACCAUUUUUGGACAGAAGGAGUUGUUACAGCUGUAUGGGAGGAAACCUUUUGUAAGCCAUUUAAAGGUUUUUGGUAGUGUUGCCUAUACGUUGAUUGACUCACAUAACCGUAGUAAGCUUGAUGAAAAAUCAGUAAAGUGCAUCUUUAUUGGUUAUUACUCUCAAUCAAAAGGAUAUAAGCUAUAUAACCCUGUUAGUGGUAAGAUAAUUGUUAGCAGAAAUGUGGUGUUUGAUGAAAAAGCUAGCUGGACUUGGCGUGUAAGUGAAGACGGUGCUCUUGUGGAGAUUUCAAGUGAAAGUGAAGUGGCACAGAGUGAAGAUCAGCAGCCUUCUGUUCAGAUUCCAGCAAGUCCAACUUCCUCUCAUUCACCUAGUUCCCCAAAUUUGAGUAGCAUCAGUUCUUCGCAAUCUUCAAAGGAAACCCCUCCAAGGAAAUUCAGAUCUUUAAGGGACAUCUAUGAGACUACACAAGUCUUGUUUGCAGCUGAUCCAACAACCUUUGAAGAAGCAGUGGAGAAGGAAGAAUGGUGCAGUGCUAUGAAAGAAGAGAUAGCUGCCAUUGAGAAGAAUGAGACUUGGGAACUGGUGGAGCUUCUUGAAGACAAGAAUGUGAUAGGUGUUAAAUGGGUUUUCAGAACCAAGUACUUAGCAGAUGGUAGUAUACAAAAGCACAAGGCACAGUUAGUGGCAAAGGGCUAUGCACAGCAACAUGGAGUUGAUUAUGAUGACACCUUCUCACCAAUUGCACUAUUUGAAACAGUAAGGACCUUAUUAGCCUUAGCUGCUCAUAUGCAUUGGUGUGUUUAUCAGUUUGAUGUCAAGUCUGCUUUUCUUAAUGGAGAGCUAGUAGAGGAGGUGUAUGUAUCUCAGCCUGAAGGCUUCAUAGUUCCUGGUAAAGAAGAGCACGUGUAUAGACUAAAGAAGACCCUUUUUGGGUUGAAACAAGCCCCACGAGCAUGGUACAGUAAGAUAGAUUCUUACUUUGUUGAGAAUGGCUUUGAAAGGAGCAAGAGUGAUCCAAAUCUUUACCUAAAAAGGCAAGGUAAAAAUGAUCUUCUUAUUAUUUGUCUUUAUGUAGAUGACAUGAUCUAUAUGGGUUCAUCCUCUUUUCUUAUUAAUGAGUUUAAAGCCUGUAUGAAGAAGAAGUUUGAGAUGUCAGACCUAGGGUUGUUGCAUUUCUUUCUUGGUUUAGAGGUAAAACAAGUAGAGGAUGGAGUCUUUGUUUCAUAAAGAAAGUAUGCUAUUGAUUUGCUUAAGAAGUUCAAUAUGUUAAAUUGCAAAGUAGUAGCUACUCCUAUGAAUUCAAAUGAGAAGUUGCAGGCUGAAGAUGACACUGAAAGAGCUGAUGCUAGGAGGUUUAGAAGUCUGGUUGGAGGCCUCAUUUAUUUGACACAUACACGGCCAGAUAUAGCUUUUGCAGUUGAGGUGAUCUCCAGAUUUAUGCAUUGUCCUUCGAAGCAACAUCUUGGAGCUGCAAAGAGAUUGUUGAGAUACAUUGCUGGAACAUAUGAUUUCGGGAUAUGGUAUGGUCAUGUUCAAGAGUUCAAAUUGGUUGGCUACACUGAUAGUGAUUGGGCAGGGUGCUUAGAGGACAGAAAAAACACUUCAAGCUAUAUGUUUUCUCUUGGGUCAGGUGCAGUCUAUUGGAGUUCAAAGAAGCAAGCAGUGACAGCCUUGUCCUCUUUUGAAGCUGAGUAUACACUGCAACCUCAUCCGCAUGCCAGGCAGUGUGGUUGAGGCGAAUUCUUGCUGAUAUUAGUCAAGAACAUGAGGAGUCAACUAUAAUUUACUGUGACAACAAAGCUGCCAUAGCAAUGACCAAGAAUCCAGCCUACCAUGGAAGGACAAAACAUGUUGAUAUUCGGGUUCAUUUCAUAAGAGAUCUUGUGGUUGAAGGUAAAGUUGUUUUGCAGUAUUGUAACACCAAUGAGCAGGUAGCGGAUGUGCUGACAAAAGCUUUAUCUAGAGACAAACAUGUCUACUUCAAAAGCAAGCUUAGAGUUUGCAACUUUGAAUCAAGGGGGAGUGUUGAAGACUGAUUCAAAGUGGUUGUUGGCAUAUUCCUAUUCUUAUGGUUGAGUUAGUCAAAUAAGGAGCUUGUUGCUAAAAUCGAGUUAGUGGGUGUAGUGGGUCAAGUGUUAGUGGUGUAGUGGGGCAGAUUGUGUCCUCUUUGUUUUUUUAUAAAUAGACAUGUUUGUUGUAGUGGAAUUAAUGAAUGCAAUAAAAUAUCCAGAAGCAUUUUCUUUGGUCUGGUGAAGCUCUGUUUUUUAGAGUUAAAGAGCUCUAUUUUUUUCCUUGCUAUUGUUUUGUCUUGUUUUUGUCCAACAUAGACAUCCACACGCUGCGUUGCUUUCUUGAUUGUGUAUUUGUACAGCCAUUUAUACAGCCAACAAUGGAUGUGUAGACAUCCACACGCUGUGUUGCUUUCUUGAUUGUGUAUUUGUCUUUGUAUGCUUGUCUGUUUUUCCUGGUUUGAUACAGCUGACAAGAAUCCACUUCUUUUUUAUUUUUGUAAGUUUAAAGUAUUUCAUAGUAACCCAACUUUGUAAUUUUUUAGGUUUGAAGUGGGUUUUAACGUGUUGAUUUGAAAAAAAGUUUGUGUUCUGUUAAAGUUGUACGGUUUGAAACCUAUACUGAUUGAUAAUACAACCAAAAAUGGGGUAGAUGUGAACCAAAAAUGGGUACGGUUGGAUAGAGAUGUAAUUUCAUCCACAUUUCUCAUCUAAGCCCAAUCCAAAUUUAAAUACCCCAAGUUGGAUUAGAACUGCAAUUCCUAAUUUUGACUUGGAUUUGAAUUUAACCAGCCCAAUUUGCCUCUCAGGGAGGGCUUUAAGCCAUGGCCAGGGGGCUUUAGAAUCUUUGAAACCAUAACCAAAUUCAAUUAACUGAACCCAUAUAUUUUGUUAUACUCAAUUCUGCCUGCUCUUAAGGAACUAACCUGUUUCAUCCAAUCAACUUAAACAUAACUCACUAAGAUGAGUUUAAUUUGAUUUCUUUCAGGGUGUUGAUGCUAGAAACUUACCAACCUAUUUCAAGGUGUCUUUUGCCGUUUCAGGCUGUUGAUAUUGCAGACCCUAAAUCUAUUAUUGUGAGUAGAGUUUGUUAGGUGCAACCGUGCAACAAUGUUGUUCUUAAAACAUUGGUGGAAGGACUUUUGAUAAGAGUACGGUAAUUUCAAAAAAAAAAAAUCUUAAAUUAUCAUAGUAGAAAAAAUAAUUCUAAAUUUACGGCAAUUUUUACCAGGUAGGAGAGAAGGAGAGUUGUUUUUUUUAUCAACUUGAAAAUUGUCUUUUGAAAAGACGAUUUCCACCAAAACAAAUAUAAAAAAAAAUUAAUCCCUCAAAAAUCGUCUUUUAAAAAGACGAUUUCCACCUAACAAACAUACAAAAAAAAAUUAACUACUCAAAUCGUCUUUUGAGAAAACGAUUUCCACCAAAACAAAUAUAUAUAUAUAUAUAUAUAUAUAUAUAUAUAAAUUAAUCUUUAAAAAAAAUUAGUUCGUCUCUUGAAGAUACCAUUUCCCUAAAAAAUAUUUAAGUGUAAAUCUUCUCUUAAAGAGACGAUUUCCAAAAAAAAAAAAAAAUUACUACCCUAGGAAAUCAUUUCUUCACCACCCAAAUUUCAAACUUUUAUAUAUUUUAAUUUUUUUAAUUAUGUUAAAUCAGAUAACAUUUUAGUUUUAUUUCUACUUUUAUUUUUAUUUUUAUAUCUCAUUGUUUUUACAACAUAAUUUUCAAUUAUUUCUAUUUUUUAAAUUUUAAUAUUUUUUAAAUCAUAUAUUAUGAAAAAUAUAUAGAAAUAUAAUUAUUCUAUUAUUAUUAUUUUUCAUUCUCAUUUUACUAAUAUUUUAUUUUAUUUUUAAAUUUAAAUUUUAAUAUUUUAUAAAACAUAUUAUUUGAUUGAUAAACAUAAACAAUAAUCCUAUUAUUUCAUAUUAAUUAAAUAAACUAAUAUCAUUUUUAUUUUUUGAAUGAUUUAAUUCAUUUAUCUUUAUAUAAUGAUAAUUUACAACAAAUAAUAUUCUAACAAAAUUACCAUAAAUCCAAUAAAUUUAAAAAAUACAAAUAACAACAAAUAUCUAUCAUGUAUUACACAAUAAAUAUGAAAUAAAGGCAAAAAUAUUACCAAUGAAUAAAAUAAUAUAUCUUUUAUUUUUUUGAAUGAUUUAAUCUAUUUAAAAUAAUAAUUUCCAAUAAAUAUUAUUCAAACAAAUAUUACAUAAUCCAAAUAAAUUUAAAAACUUAUAUAAUAAUAAAAACUAUAUAUUAUAAAAUAACUUAAAAUAAAAAUAAAGUAAAAAUAUUACCUUAUAAGUAGCGUGUUGAAAAAAAUAGAUGAGAUAUGCUAAGAUGGAAGUGAUGGAAGGUGAAAAACUAAUAAGUGCAUGCAAUAGGUAAGAUUCUCAUAUACCUAUGGGCUAGCUAUGAGAGGGUAGUAAACGGUCUUCAAAUUUGUGUGAAGUAUAAUAGGUUAUAAGAGAUAUGACAACACAUGAAAUUUUAACUUAAAAGAUUAAUAUUUUUAACCUUAAAAUUUAUAUAAUAUAAUUAAUUUAAAAAUUAAAACAAAACAAAAUUAUUUAUUUUGUAAAUAAUUUUUUUAAACUCAUUUUAUCAUAUAAAUUUGAUAAUAACUUUUUUUAAUUGCAAAGUGAAAGAAAGAAAAAAACAAUAGAUAAAUAUUAUUUAUUUUGUAUUAAAUUUAGUAAAUUAAAUUAAUUAAUUUUAUAAUAUAUAUUUAUAAUAAUUAUAAGAGUAUAAUUUAUUUUUAAAUUUUAAAAUGGAUUUAUAAUAUAUUUUUAUAUUAAGUUGUAUUAUUUGUUUUUAUAAUAUGGAGAUAAUUAAAGAUAUUAAAAUAUAUAAAAAUUUGAAAUUUGGGUGGUGAAGAGAUGACUUCUUGGGGUAGCAAUUUUUUUUUCUAGGAAGAGACGAUUUCAAAUUAAUUUUUUUUUAAAUAAUACUUUUUUUUUUGGAAAUCAUCUUUUGAAAAGACGAUUUUUGAGUGGUUAAUUUUUAAUAUAUAUAUUUGUUUUGAUGAAAAUCGUUUUCUCAAAAAAUGAUUUUUGAGUGGUUAAUUUUUUUAUAUGUUUGUUAGGGUGGAAAUUGUCUUUCCAAAACACGAUUUUUGAGGAAUUUUUUAUUUUUUUAUAUUUGUUUUUGUGGAAAUCAUUUUUUCAAAAGACGAUUUCCAAGUUGACAAAAAACAACAACUCUCCUUCUCUUUUACCUGACAUAGAUUUAGAAUUAUUUUUCCUAUUAUAGUAAUUUAAUAAUAUUUUUUUUAAUUACCAUAGUCUUAUCAAAAGUCCCCUCGGCGGGAUGGAUCAUCCGAUAGAAGGCUCGUGAUGUUUCACCUACCCUAACACCAAUUAGUUUCCAGAUAGAGUGGUCAAAAUCUGAUCCAAGAGAAUUCAAACUUGAAAAAAAAUUCCCAAACUUGAAAUUUGUAUUAACUCCCAAGAAUGAAAUUAUUCUCUCCUAUUUUCUUAAGUUGGAUGUCAUUCAUUUCACGAGGAGCAAAUGGCACAAUCUGUGGGCUUUGUUGGUAUUCUUUUACCCCUAAAUAAUGAUAAAGUUUAAAGAGUUUCUCAUUAUGAUCUAGUAUGGGAGCUGACUGCUUCUUUGGAUCAGGAUUAAGGGUUGGUGGGAUAAUUAUCUCACUUUUGAUAAUAGGAAUAGUAUCCUUAAAGCCUAUAGGAUUAAUGAGAGUAAUGAAGCUGUUAAGGACGAAGAUGGCCAAGAUAUUGAGGAUGCAGUGGCUACUUUAAUCUACUCAAUAUCCAAGCACUUCAUUGGAGAUCCUACAAAAAUUAAGGAUAAAACUGCAGAUCUCUUAACCAACCUUAAGUGUCCCAAGCUUCAUGAUUUUAGGUGGUAUAAGGAAGUCUUCCUAACCAAAGUCAUGCUAAGAUCAGAUUGUAACCAGUCUUUUUGGAAAGAAAAAUUCAUCUCAGGUUUACCCAAGCUUUUCUCUGAGAGAAUUAGGAUCAAGAUAAGGGAACAGUAUAAUGGUCAAAUCCCUUAUGAUAAGUUAACCUAUGGUGAGAUUAUAAGCAUUGUCAUAGCUGAAUGGAUUAAGUUGUGCAAUGACUUCAAGCUUAAGCAACAAAUGAAGAAUGAACAAAAAAUCUACAAGAAUGAAUUUGGAUCAUUCUGUAGCCAGUUUGGUUUCAGCCAAAAAGAAACUAUGCCUCCCUCUAAGCAAAAACCAAGUAGGAAGCCUAGCAAAGAUAAGUUUUACCACAGUAAGAGAGGUACCCAUGACAACUAUAGGAUGAAUGAUACUAAGCAUUCAAGGCACGUCCAAAGAAGGGUCAACAAAGAUACCCAGAAAAAGGUAGAAACUCCUUUAGAUGUCAAGCCAUUCAUCUGUUUUAAAUGUGGCAAAGUUGGCCAUUAUAAAAAAGAUUGUAGAGUUAAGCAAAAUAUUAAUAACUUAAGUGUCUCAAAUGACUUAAAAAAUAUGUUUUGUAAGGUAAUGUUAAACUCAGAUUCUGAAUCAAGGACUGAUUCAGAUAAUGAAGAUGACAUUAAUCAACUAGACAGUAGUGGUGAAGUUUCCAGCCAAUCUUCUAGUGACCAAGCAGAAUACAUUAAAGGUAAUUGUAAUUGUCGUCCUAAAACUAUAAAUGUCAUAAGCCAAGAUCAGGAAUUUAUCCUAGAUACUUUAAGAAAAGUUGAAGAUGAAAAGACUAAGCAAAAUCUUUAUGAAGUUUUUAAGAAAUCUGUUGUCAAAGUAGAAGCCAAGAAGACUGUUAAUCCUUAUAACCUUAAUGAUAUCUUAAAUAGGUUUGACCAGCAGUUUCCCAAAGAAGUCAGCAUUAAGGAACUUCAUGAAGAAGUUAAGCAGCAUAAGAAGGAGAUUAAAGAGUUAAGACAAUUCAUAAGUUUAGGUCUCUCUGAUCUCCAAGAUCAAAUCAAUAGAAUUGUCAACCAAGGAAACCUUAUGGAUAUUCCAGAAUCUUCUCAUGUUAAUGAUAAUGAGACAGAUAUUUUUUUGAAUACUGUGAGUAAGGUUAUCUUCCAGAGGUGGGAAGUCUCCCUUACUAUAGUAGUCAAAGAUAAAUUUGUCUUUGAUAUUAUUGCUUUGAUUGAUUCAGGAGCAGCUGAAAAUUGCCUUCAAGAAGGUCUUGUACCUAUUCCGUUAUGCGAAGAGACUAGUCAGUCUCUAUUUGGAGCCAAUGGCAAAAGACUUGCCAUUAAGUAUAAGUUAACAGAUGUUCAUAUUCAUAACCAUGACAUCUGUAUUAAACAAACCUUUAUCCUUGUUAAGGAUCUUAAUGAAAAAGCCCUUCUAGGAAUACCCUUCUUAAGCUCUAUUUAUCCCUUGUGGGUAGAUAACCAAGGUAUAAGAACAAAGCUUUUUGAUAAGGAAAUUAUUUUUUAAUUUGCUAAUCCUGUUGAAAACGUCACUCGUUGUGAUCAAGAAAUUAAUCUUGUUAGAAUAGAUGAUCCACCUAAGAUAUUAGGUACCCAAUUCAUUCAUAAUCUCAUUAUAAAUGAUAUUUUAAGCAUUCCUUUAUGCAUUUCAAAAUUUCAAACUGAUAUUUUGAACCAAGGAAUUUUAAAAGUUGUUUUCACAUCUGAGAAAACAAUUAAGUAUAUAGCUUUUAAGUAUAAUUUAAUUAAUUGGAUUAUUUUAAACCCUAAUUUUCAAAUCAAAAUUAUUAAAGGAGAAAGUUCCAUUCCUAAUCACUCAACUCAUGAAAUUUGCAGGGUUCACGAGACCAUGGCCCCUAAAAAGAAUACCCAAGCUCCUAGCCAGAAAACCCAACCCAUUCAAGCUCCUUCUCCCCAUAAAAUGCUAUGGAGCCAACAAGUUGAAGAAGAAGAAGCAAGGCUUCAUUCUUCUAAACCUAUACCUAACAAGAUGAUGACCUUGUACUAUGAUCAUUCCGAUCCAGCUAAUCCAGUCAAGGCCACUCAGUAUCCAGCCAUUUCAGGGUCUCAGACCUUCAAGCAAGUCAUUAAGGCUAAUCCCUCUCAAAAGGAAUUAGCAUCAAGCUCCUCUUUUUCAAACAAGCAAAUUGUGGUGGAUGCCAACCCCACACAUUUUUCAACAAAAUCAAGAUAUGGCAAAAUUAUUUAAAUCAACCUCUUUUGGUUAUAGAAAGAGAAUUUUUCUCUGAAAACCCCAGAGAAAUUGCUGCAAAAGCUUUUCAAAAAAAUUUUCAUUAUCCCUCUGGUGAUAUUUUAAGAAUAAGAGAGUUUUAUGAAGCAGUCCUUACAGAAACUGGUUUUGUUAAAAUUAAGCAUAAUGCAGACAAAUUCAGCAAUAUGGGUUUGGCAUUCUCCACUUGCCAUAUCUAUAAGAUUCUUACUGUCAAGCAAUGGGGAGGAAAUCCUAAUCUUUCAAGGGAAUUUUCUGAACCAUCAAAGCCAAGGUUUUUUAAUUAUUGGGAUUAUCAGAGAGCAUGGUUUAAUGUUUUUCUGAUCCAGAAUAGGGACUUCCAUCAUUCAUGGAUGUUCUAUUUUCCAUCUAAGAAUCAACUUUUCUCUUUCCCAUUUUGGUUCUACAAUUGGUGGAAUUAUUAUGGUCCGACUAUUAAGAUUCUUCCCAAGCCCAUCCUGGAUGGCUUUGAGCUAUUCAGAAGUUCUUUUAAUAUCCCCAGAGAACUUUCAGCUUUUCCCCCUUUACUAUUCUUCUUCAGCAAAUUUGGCCUUACUUGGAUAGUCCAGUGGGACUAUAUUAUCAUUACAGAUGAAUCAACAGCCUUUCCAUCGCUGGGAAGGACCUUUAAAACAAAAUGGUGGGAUGCCUUAAAAAAUGAUGCAUCUAUUGAUACAGUUAAGCAGUAUUUCCUCCAGAACCCCACACAAGUCUCAGCCAGUGAUGAUAUGUCUUAGUUUUUCCUUAAAAAGCAACAGUUACAAGCCAUGCUCGCAGCUGCUAAGACCCCUCAAGAUUUCCAGAAAAUCCUUGAAGAAGGAAGCUCAAGUUUCUCCCAAGAAAAUUCUUAUGCAGAGUCUGAUGAUUCAACAAGCUACUUUUCAGACAAUGGUGAUGACUGUGAAGGAAUCCUUUCUCCAAUAAGAAGAUCUAAGUAAUCAUUAGCCUUUUGUCUUCCAUCAAGAAUAUUUUACAAGUCUUGCAGUUUCUGUUCCAAAAGCAGCAAGCAUGUGACUACAUAGUAUAUAGCAGCCUGCUAGAAGUCUUCUCAGCCGAAAGAGGGUUUUUCAGAGGAUUUCGGUAUAAAAAUGAAUCUUACUAUUCACUAUUCACUAUUCACUAUUCAAGCACGAGUCUACUGUUCAUGGUUACUAUUCAAGAUUCCUUUUUUGCCUAUUUAAGGAGGCUCGGUCCUCAUUUGUAAAAACACUUAAAUUUUCUCUCCCAAGCUUAUGCUCUCCCUUCUCUCUUCUUUCUCUCUCAUCAUGUAACCCCUUCAAGCUUUCAAGCUUUCUUCAAGCUUUCCUACCCCUGCCCAUUGUAAGAUAUUUCUCCUUAUAUAUAAUAUAAGUAUGUUUUGAUUACCUCCUAUAUGGAUGGUUUUUAAUUAAGUUUUGUUUUUCAUUUUAUUUUAUGUUCUUGUACUGCCUAUAUGGUCGGUUUUAAUUAAGCUUUGUUUUUAAGUUUAUGUUUUUAUUUUGUACCGCCUACAUGGUCGGUUUUAAGCUUAUUAUGAACUAACAAGUUUUUGGUUCCUUCUCUUUAAAUUUCUUGUUGGAUAUCUUUUGUAUCAUCUAACCCUCUUCUUUGUUUUGAAUCAUGGCAUAAUUCCUGUUUUCAUUGCAUAUGACCUUGUCCUGGGUGUCUAUGGUAUCAGAGCCAUGUGGGAGGGAAGUUGGGUCUUGUUUUGGGUGUUCUUGGCCUAUCCUAGGAUAGGUCGCAAUGUGCCUGGGAGCGCGAGCCCUGCCGGUUGAGCCGUUGUUAGCCGUGGAUAGGCGUUUGUUAGGCUGUAAGAGGGUUGGGGUGACGUCUCAUAAGGUUUGUCAAUAUGCUAUUAGGCUCUAGUUCAAAAACCCUAAAAUGAGCUCAAUUUUCAGAACCAUGUCUAGGAGAUCCAGUGAUUCUCAAGAUACUGUUGUAAACAGUGAACAAAUCAAUUAUCCUAAGAUCCAAAAUGAUUUAGAUGAUUGGAAGUUACCCAAGGUGUCUAAUCAAGAAAUUUAUAAGAAAUGAACCUUUAAGUUCUUCACAGAUUACACCAUUAAGACCUCUAAAAUGUCAGUCAGCUUAGAACAAGACGACCAAGUCAUAAGACUUCUAGAUAACAGAUCCAUUGAUAAGCAUAAGAAAGAUGGCUAUAAUUUCAUACACUUUGGUAUGAUUCAAGUAACUGCUAAGCCUUUGACAAGAUUAGGUUUAAACACCUCUAUUGUCAUGUGUUUUAGGGAUAAUAGGCAGUUCGAAUAUCGAGAUUCUAUUAUAGGCGCAGUCCAAGCUGGACUGAAUGAUGGCCCAGUUUAUUUCCAGUGCUUAUCCUAACUUCAUAGUUAGAAUAAGAGAUGCAGACAUCCUAUAUUCCGUUGUCCUGCAUAUUAAGACCCAUGACUUUAAGAUCAAACGAGGAAACAGUCCUAUUUCAAUCAUAACCAGGUUUGCCUAUAAGAGCAUGAAUACAAGCGUUGGAUCUGGGCCUCUUUGCACCAGUCCUAAAGGUGAGACUACUUACUUUCACUCAGAUAUGCUAGAUAAGUCAGAUUUCAUCAUCCCCAAGAAGAUCUUGUGGAAAGAUGUUGAGUUCCCUGAAAAUUGGCAUUUUGCUAAUGCUGUUCCAGCCAUAGCACAGCGUUCUGAAAGUAUUGAACAAAUUGUUCAAUAUCCUGAUGGAGGAGGAGAACUGGUUUUCUCCAACUCUUUCAGACAUUCCAGCAGCCCUAGAGUUUCUGUUUAUGAACCAUCUAGAGCUUCAAGCUCUUCCAUCACAGUUAGAACCACUAGGGAAGAAUAAGGAUCCAACUCAGGAAAUCCUAAGAACAUUAAGCUAACAGGUGUUAGAAGUCACACCAACGUGGCUAGACCAUUUUACUCAGAGGAAAAUGAGUCUACUCAGGAUGAGUCUCCUGUUAUGUCUCCUACCUAUUCCUAGAUGAUUAACACAAUAAGCCUAAGUGAUGAGGACUUUGAGAUCAACAAGGAUCUCUUAAGAAAGGACUUCUAUUCUGAAGUCAAUAAGCAAAGAAAUGAUUGGUUCUUUAGCACUGUCCCUAAGGUCAUUAGAACCAUUUACCAAGAAGAAUUCUAUGCCUACUUAAGACAAGAAAAGAAAAAUAUUAAGUUUUGGAUUUGGUUUGAACUCUUCAAAACAAGAGGAAUAUCCAGAUUAUCCUUGUAAGCGUAUUAACAACACCUCUACAAAAGCUAAGAUAUGGAAAACCAGUGAUAACAUUGUUAUAGAAUUCAUUCAUCCUCCGAAAGCUAAGAUAGAAAAGAAUAUUAAUGGAACCAUAGUCACAGCUUCACCUUUUAAGACUAAGCCAGAGGAUAAAGGAACUGCUAGUGCGUCCGAUAUUAGAAGAAUUAUGGAACAAAUCAAUUAUACUAAUAUGUUUCUCAUAACCCUUGGAAAUCAAGUCAACAGAGUUGAGGAGAUUAUUGAAACUCAGGAUCACCUUAAGAAGCCUUUUGUUAAGAAUGAUAAUAAGCCUUUGUUUAAGCCUUUUGAAUUAUCUAAGAAAUUCCAAGAAAAUCCUCAAAUUGAUCAAGCUUUCAUUGAUAGAAUAAGCCAAAAGGUUAAAGAUAAUCUUGUUAUCCCUGAAACACCUCAAACUUUUGCUAUCCAUGAAACACCUCUACCUUCCCAUAGGAGAAUCCUUUUGGUUAAAAGGAAUAUUAAUCCAAAAGUAAAGGAUAAUGGACUAAUUAGGUUAACCAGAGAAUCUUCUAUCCAAAACCCUUUUAAGGAUCAUAGUGAUAAACAAGAGAUUAUCCUUAAUACCCUAACUAUUAAAGAUCUUCAAGAAGAAAUAGGGCAAUAUAGGAAGGAUAUUGAGAACCUAAGACAACCUACAAGCACAGAAUCCCAUAUCCCUCAUGAUUAUAUCAAUAUGAUAGGUUUUUACCACAGUAGUCUUAAAAAGGAAGACUUUGAAGAAGUUCUUGAAUCUUCACAAGACAAUAGUGAUAAGAUAAAUGCAUACUUAAAUACUAUUAGUAAAGUUAUCUUCCAAAGGUGGGAAGUCUCCCUUACUAUAGUAAUUAAGAAUAAAUUUAUCCUUGAUAUUAUUGCUUUAAUAGAUUCAGGUGCAGCUUUGAAUUGUCUACAAGAAGGUCUUGUACCUACCCAACUUUAUGAGAAAACCAGGCAAGCCCUUUUUGGUGCUAAUGGUAAAAAGCUUAUUAUCAAGUACAAGCUAUCGAAUGCCCAUAUUUGUAACCAAGGCAUUUGCAUUAAGCAAACCUUCAUCCUUGUUAAAUUCCCAUGUGGGUAGAUGAUCAAGGUAUAAGAACUAAGCUUUUAGAUAAGGAAAUUCUGUUUGAAUUUGCCAAUCCACCUAGAGAAAGAAGUAUAAACACCAUAAAAGAUCAGGUGAUUAAGGCUAAGCAAAACCAUAUUAAUCUCUUAAAGUAAGAGAUUGCUUUGGUUAGAAUAGAAGAUCAAUUGAAGGUUAAGAAAACUUAAGAUACCAUAGAAAAUUUUAAGAAUAAAAUUAUUAGGGAAGUAUGUUCUAACAUUCCUAAUGCUUUUUGGCACAUGAAGCAGCAUGAGGUAGAAUUACCUUAUGAGCCUGAUUUUAGUGAGAAAAAUAUUCCCACUAAAGUAAGACCAAUCCAAAUGAACAAGGAUUUGUUAAGCUAUUGUGAAAAAGAAAUCCAAGAUCUCAUAGAUAAGAAGUUGAUAAGGAAGUCUAAAUCCCCUUGGAGUUGUUCAACCUUUUAUGUUCAGAAACAAGUUGAACUAGAAAGAGGAACACCUAGACUAGUCAUCAACUAUAAGCCCCUCAAUGAUGUUUUAAGAUGGAUCAGGUAUCCUAUCCCAAAUAAAAAAGACCUCCUUCAAAGAUUAGUGAAGUCCAAAGUUUUCUCUAAGUUUGACAUGAAAUCAGGAUUUUGGCAAAUCCAGAUUGCGGAAAAAGAUAGGUACAAAACAGCCUUUGUGGUCCCAUUUGAUCAUUAUGAGUGGAAUGUAAUGUCAUUUAGCCUUAAGAAUGCACCUUCUGAGUUUCAAAACAUAAUGAAUGAAAUCUUUAACCAGUUUUCUGAUUUCAUUAUUGUUUACAUUGAUGAUGUUUUGAUUUACUCAAAUUUUGUUGAGCAGCAUUGGAAACAUCUCAAUAAGUUUGUUGAGACUGUUAAGAGCAAUGGUUUAAGUUUGUCAGCCACUAAGAUUAACCUCUUUCAAAUUAAAGUAAGAUUCCUAGGUCAUCAUAUUCACCAAGGAACAUUCACCCCCAUUCAAAGAUCAAUUGAGUUUGCUGAUAAGUUCCCUGAUGAGAUUAAGGAUAAGAAACAAUUGCAACGUUUCUUAAGAAGCCUUAAUUAUGUGUCAGAUUUCAUACAAGAUUUAAGCCAAUUAUGUGCCCCUUUAAGACAAAGACUUAAGAAAAAUCCAGUUCCUUGGAAUGAGGAUCAUACCAAGAUUGUUAAAAUAGUAAAGUCUAGAGUCAAAACCUUACCAUGUCUCGCCUUAGCUGAUCAUAAAGCCUUUAAGAUUGUUGAGACUGAUGCUUCUGACAUAGGUUUUGGUGGAAUUCUUAAGCAAAGAAGUAAUAAUCAAGAAUUGUUGGUUAGAUUCACCUCUGGAACUUGGAACCAUGCCCAACUCAACUACAGCACCAUCAAAAAGGAAAUUUUAAGCAUCGUUUUAUGCAUUUCAAAAUUUCAAGACGAUCUUUUGAAUCAGGAAUUUUUAUAUAAGAGUAGAUUGCAAAUCUGCAAAAUCAGUUUUACAAAAGGAUGUUAAAAAUAUAGCUUCUAAACAUAUUUUUGCUAGAUGGCAAGCUAUUUUAAGCAAUUUUGAAGAGACGAGUUCCCUUGAAGAAAUUCCUUUUUUUUUUUUUUUUAAUUUGGGAAUUUUAAAAUAUAUAUAUAUAUAUUUAAAAAAUAUUUUUUUUCCAUGGGAACUCGUCUCUUGAAGAGACGAGUUCCCUUGAAGAAUUGUUUUAUAUAUAUAUAUAUAUAUUUUUUUUUUUAAAAAAAAAUUUUCCCAUGGGAACUCGUCUCUUCAAGAGAUGAGUUCCCUUAAGUUCUUUUUUUUUUUUUUUUUUUUUAAAUUUGGGAAUUUAUUUUUUUUCCAUGGAAACUCGUCUCUUGAAGAGACGAGUUCCCUUGAGGAAUUGUUUUUUUUUAAAAAAAAAAAAUUUGGGAAUUGUUUUUUUUAAAUAAAAAAUAUAUUUUUAAAAAAAUAUAUUUUUUUUCCAUCGGAAUUGAGGAAUUGCUUUUUUUUUUUUUUUUUUUUUUAGUAAUUUGGGAAUUUUUAAAUAUAUAUAUAUAUAUAUAUAUAGAGACGAGUUCCCUGAGGAAUUUUUUUUUUUAAUUUGCGAAUUUUUUAAAAAGAAAAUGUAUUUUUUUCCAUGGGAACUCGUCUCUUGCAAGAGACGAGUUCCCUUGAGGAGUUGUUUUUUUUUUUUUUUAAUAAUUUGGGAAUUUAAAAAAAAAAAAAUUUCAUUGGUUCCAUUGAGGAAUUGUUUUUUUUUUUUUUUUAAAUUUGGGAAUUUUUAAAAUAUAUAUAUAUAUAUAUAUAUAUAUAUAUAUAUAUGUUUUUUUUUUUUUUUUCUUAGGAACUCGUCCCUUGAAUAAACAAGUUUCCUUGAGGAAUUGUUUUUUUUUUGAGGAAUUUUUUUUUUUUUUUUUUAAGGGGGUUAUAAAAAAAAAAAAAAAAAUAAAAAUAUUUCCCGGGGAAACCCUCCCUUGAAAAAAAAAAUCCCCUUAAACAACGGUUUUUUUUUUUUUUUUUUUUUUUUUUUUUUUUUUAAAAAAGGGGGAAAUUUUUUAAAAAAAAUUAUUUUUUUUCGGGGGCCCGUCCCCCCAAAAAAAAAAGCCCCCAAAAGAAAAUUAUAUUUAAAUUUUUUUUUAAAAAAUUUUUUUUAUUGGGGGAAUUUUUUUUAAANNNNNNNNNNNNNNNNNNNNNNNNNNNNNNNNNNNNNNNNNNNNNNNNNNNNNNNNNNNNNNNNNNNNNNNNNNNNNNNNNNNNNNNNNNNNNNNNNNNNGGGGGGGGGUUCCCGGGGGAAUUUUUUUUUUUAUUUUGGAAAUUUUUUAAAAAAAAAAUUUUUUUUUUUCCUGGGGAAUUUUUUUUUUCAAAAGAAGGGUUUCCCUGGGGGGGUGUUUUUUUUUUUUUUUUAUAAUUUGGGGAAUUAAAAAAAAAAAAAUUUCCUUGGUUCCCCUGGGGAAAUUUUUUUUUUUUUUUUUUAAAUUUGGGAAUUUUUUAAAAAUAUAUAUAUAUAUAUAUAUAUAUAUAUAUAUAUGUUUUUUUUUUUUUUUUUUUAGGAACUCGUUUCUUGAAUAGACGAGUUUCCCUGAGGAAUUGUUUUUUUUUUGAGGAAUUUUUUUUUUUUUUUUUUAAUGUGGUUAUAUAUAUAUAUAUAUAUAUAUAUAUAUUUCCAUGGGAACUCGUCUCUUGAAGAGACGAGUUCCCUUGAGCAACUGUUUUUUUUUUUUUUUUUUUUUUUUUUUUUUUUUUUUAUAAUUUGGGAAUUUUUUUAAAUAUAUAUAUAUAUUUCAUGGAGCUCGUCUCUUCAAGAGACGAGUUCCCUAGAGGAAUUGUUAUUNNNNNNNNNNNNNNNNNNNNNNNNNNNNNNNNNNNNNNNNNNNNNNNNNNNNNNNNNNNNNNNNNNNNNNNNNNNNNNNNNNNNNNNNNNNNNNNNNNNNGGAAUUUUUUUUUUUUUAAGGAAUUUUUUUUUUUUUUUUUAAAGGGGGUUUAAAAAUAAAAAAAAAAAAAAAUAUAUUUCCCAGGGGACUCCUUUUUUGGAGGGGCGGGGUUCCCUGGGCAACCGGUUUUUUUUUUUUUUUUUUUUUUUUUUUUUUUUUUUAUAAUUUGGGAAUUUUUUUAAAUAUAUAUAUAUAUUUCAUGGAGCUCGUCUCUUCAAGAGACGAGUUCCCUAGAGGAAUUGUUAUUUUAUUUUAUUUUUUUAAUUAUUUUUUUUAAUUUGGGAAUUUUUUUAUAAAAAAUAUAUAUAUUUUUUUUUUCAGGGAACUCGUCUCUUCAAGAGACGAGUUCCAUUGAGUAAAUGGGGAAUUUUUUUAAAAAUAUAUAUAUAUUUUUUUCAUGGAACUCGUCUCUUGAAGAGACGAGUUCCCUUUGUUUGAAAAGACGCCUUUUGAAAUUUGAAAAGAUGAUUUUGGUUUUAAAAAAAUUUAUCCGUUCACCCUCUCUCCUAUCUCCUCUCUCUUAUGUGGCAAAAACUACCAUAUAUUUGUAAUAACUUUUUCUACUACAAUAAUUUAAGCAUAAUUUUUUUAAAUUACCGUACUAUUGAGAAAAGUCCUAUAUACUAGGCCCAGGAAUAUGACUUCAGCCUUAGUUUAGGGAUAAUCUUUUUACAUAUUUCAUCAUUUUUGAAAGGAUUCAGACCUUUCUUUACCUUAGGAAAGGAGCACGUAAGAAAGUGAUGUUUGUUUUUUUACUUAAUUUUAAAUAGAACCUUAAUGCUUAAUAGUGUUGAAUAUUAAAUUGUUUUUAUAGAAUUUUAUUUUUAUGUAAAGAAAAACCAAUAUGUUAAUUUUUUUAUUUAGAAAAAGUUACAUAUUUUAGUUUUUUUUAAUAAAAAAUUUAUAAUAAGUUAUGAAAAAUAAAAAACCAAAUAACCUAAAUUUUAAAAACAAAUUAUUUUUAAUAAAAAACUAAAAAAAAUAUGGGACCAAAAAUACCAUGAAUGACCCAUCUAGCAGCAACAUACAAACAAGAGAUAAUGAGAGUAUAGAUUGCUCCUGGGCUUGAGAAAUAUUGUCUGUCAAUAUUCCAUUUAACAAAAUUAAGAGAAUUAUUAAAUAUACCGAUUUACCAAAAGUGGGUUAUAAUACCUUGAUUUGGAAAUAAAUAUAAAAUAGGAAGUCAUCUUUUAAUAAUCCAAAAUUCAUAAUAUCAUUUCAAAAUAUUUCAUAUUGGAUGCCCUAAGAGCUUAUGUGUCUUUAAGUUUCAAUAAUACCCUCCCUAACAAUAGUCUGACAAAAGGAAUUACAAAAGGUAAGUGAAUGAAUGGAAAUGGAGUUUUUUUCCUCAGGAAAAAGAUAAAGAAAUGAUGGGAACGUGGGAGAGUGGACCUGAGAAAAUGCCAUGAGAAUCAGAAGUUCUGAAAAUUGUAAUCGAUGAUCGGGUACUCAAUUCAAGAGAUUUCAUCGAACACAUCUCUCUCAGCUCCACUACAGAGAGGUCCUCGUGCACGUUUUACAUUAAGAGUUCUCUUCUAAAAGGUAAAUCAACGUCGUUUGCAUUUUCUGACUGUUUUUGUUUUCUUCUAAUUUUUGUCUUUAUUUCUCCUCCGUCAAUCCCACAUUCCCAAGAAAAAGAUUAAACAAUAAUCCUCACUAAUUGCCAAGAAAAAAAUAAAAUAAGACAUUGAUUUCAUAAAGAAAAAGAAACAUAUCAAGACCAAUUAUGGGUUAAAGGGUAAAAUUAAUGUUCCAGAUUUCCGCUUACUUCUGUCACUCUCCCAGCAACCAAACAGAAAUCCCAAAAACCCAUAACACAAAUUGUGAAAUAAAAAUUAAAAAAAAACAUUGGCCAAGAAACAAUAGCAAGAGCGUCACCGACAAUUAGGGUAAAAAUCAGACCAAAUCCAGAACGAAACAAACCGGAAAAGAUUAGAAAAAUUCUAGGGAAUUAAGGAACUGGAAAGGGGCAAGCAACCCAGAAAAUGAAAGGAAUUACUUAAAGGCAGUAGAAAAAACGAAAAGGAUCUCAACCUCAGUAACGGAAAAAACAUAACAAAAGAGGAAAAACAAAAUCCUUUCAAGAAAAUUUUGACUAUUAUUUUCUAGAGAACCCAAGAGAGAGAGAGAGAGAGAGAGCGCUUACCUAGGUUCCGGGUUUUUCAGAGUGAGGUGAGAGCCAUUGUCGGCGCCAGUGGAAACCAGAGCGGAGAGGACGAAGGUUACCUCUUAUUUUCUUUUUCUUGAUCAAUUUUUCAUUUUUUUUCUGAUACGAAAAAAGGAAAAAAAAAUUAGUGGGCGGAGAUGGCGGCCAUAUCCGAUUCCACCGUCCUUCACAAAUCGUAUGGAAAAAAAAAGAAGAAAAAAAGAUAAAUUACAACAGAAAUUCGAAGCUCAAGGCCUGCAAAAUUGCAGAUCUAGAAACGUGGAUCUCAACUUUCGUACAGAAGGUACAAAUCAACCAAAAGAGAAUAACAGAGAAAAGAAAACGAAGGAAAAUUUUGUGUACCUGUAUACAAGUUGAGAGAGAGAGAGAUGGACGCCGCCUU